UUCCAUUUCUCAAAAUGAAUUCCUUACUUAGUGUGAUGUUUGUGUUCCUAGGGAUUUGCACAAUAGAAAGCGAUGGCAUUGCCGUUUGCCCAAACGGGCAUGUGGCCUGUUUUAUCGAUCCAUGUAUGGGCUACUCAUGCUACGAUCCUCCAAAUCUUACUUGCAGGUCAAACGGCUGUGACGGUUGCAAAAGAGAUUGGUACGACGCCAGAAAUGUACAAAAACAAUGCCGCGUGGAAGGUCAAUAUGCUUGAAGAAAGAAACGAAGCUACAGAGAUGUUUAUUCACGAAAUGUGCGAAUAAACAUUAUGUUACAAAACUGAUAAAUUGGAAUUGAUAAAAACAACAUAAAUUAAGUUUCAAUGUUAUGCAGUUUAAGCAAAAAAUAAUAAUUCAAGAAACAAUUAAUAUGUUCUUUUUUAUUUUGAAAUUAAUUAUCAUUUGUUUUAAUACAUUUAUAAAGCUGUGUAAUAGAUGUUCCAAGUAACGAACGCAGGCAUAAUGGCAUGUUAUCGCUUAUAUGUCACGGAUGAUUCAUAAAUAUUUAUAAUAUGUAUUACUUUUCCCAUGUAACUAUAAACAAAGCUGAGAUUUUGUUAUUUUUAACUUAUUUUCAAAAGUGUCCAUCAUGCCAUUUGUUUGUAAGUUAUCCGUGGAUAUCUAAAAAUAAAUAAGCUUUUUAAAAGCAUGUCUUGAUGAAUCAUCAUUGAAACUGUUAACGCGUAUGGUAUUUUGUUAAUUUGUGUCAGAACAUGUAAACACUGUACGGUAAUGUGACAAUACACCAUUUAAGAUAUUUGCAUACACUAAAUGUUAUUGGCAACAUGUAUUUUGUCUGUACGCUUUGCCUUGAUAUCUCAUAAAUUUCCCCCAUUUUACCAUAUUUCCUUGAGUAAUGGUUUGUACAAUUAUAAAUCAUCUUUUAUUACAUCCGAUCUAUCGUUUUAAUUUAUAAAAGUUUGCAUACAUUUUGCUUAUGUAUAGCUAGCGUAAACAAUCUAACAGGUAAUUUAGCUAUUUACAACUUUGCAUCUGUCUAUAAAGAAAGCAAGUUGACAAGCAUGUUGAUUAAUUCAUAACAAUGAACACACCACUUACUGCGGCGUUUUUUCCCUGGGGCUUUCAUCACACGUUAUUGUACAUGUACUGGUUUAAAAUAAUUACAAUGUUUCUAACAAUUUUUAAUGUAUGUGCAGGCUACGUGUGUGUGUGUUCCCACCAAAUCUGACGUGCAGUUAAGUGUAUACAAUACAAAUAUUCAUAUUGCGUGAUUACUUUGCAUCGUUAUGUAAUACGUGUAGUGUAAAGUGAUCGAAAUCGUUGAGAUGUCUGAAAGCGCAGAAAUAGCUCUACUAUAUCCAUUUGUGGCAAGCCUGGAAUUUUUCCCUCUACCAUUCCAUUCGUAAUUAUGUGUUUAUGUUUUUCUCUGAUCACACGUAUUUCAUCAUGCGCUCUAGCCACCCGAUCCAUUCGUGACAUACAUUAACAGUGAAGCCUUAGAACAUUUUAAAUUAUAUGUUCUUUUCGUCUUACAUUGAAACCAACUGAGACAAAAAGCAAAUAAAUCAGCAUUAAUUGCAAAUUUGUUGUAGCUGUA
Molecule: long non-coding RNA, 1597 nt
Organism: Dreissena polymorpha
Lineage: Eukaryota; Metazoa; Mollusca; Bivalvia; Myida; Dreissenidae
Exons: 3
Source: RefSeq, a predicted model, not a curated record